RNAcentral lists this ribosomal RNA (522 nucleotides) under Heterocerinae sp. UPOL RK0662. Its description in RNAcentral is "partial 16S ribosomal RNA". It matches the Rfam family "Bacterial large subunit ribosomal RNA", at positions 1826 to 2610 of the family's 2925-position model. Lineage: Eukaryota; Metazoa; Arthropoda; Insecta; Coleoptera; Heteroceridae. The record is from RNAcentral.
CAUGGUCUUUUGAUUUUGAUUUAAGAUUUGGCCUGCCCACUGAGUAUUUGAAUGGCCGCGGUAAUUUAACCGUGCGAAGGUAGCAUAAUCAAUAGUUUCUUGAUUGGAAGCUGGAAUGAAUGGUUGGACGAGAAAACUACUGUCUCAAAUUUAUUUUUUUUGAAUUUUAUUUUUGAGUCAAAAAGCUUAAAUUUUGUUAAAAGACGAGAAGACCCUAUAGAGUUUAAUUUAUCAAUCUUAUUUCAUUUGAAGAAUUAAAUUAUUAGAUUGAUAAAUUUUGCUGGGGUGGCAUUAAGAUUAAAUAAACUCUUAAAUUCUUUUUUUCAAUAAUUAUUGUUUAGUUUUGAUCCAAUUUUUUUGAUUAAUAGAUUAAAUUACCUUAGGGAUAACAGCGUUAUUUUUCUUGAGAGUUCUUAUCGAAAGGAAAGAUUGCGACCUCGAUGUUGGAUUAAAAUAAACUUUUGGCGCAAGAGCUAAAAAGGGGAAGUCUGUUCGACUUUUAAAAUUUUACAUGAUCUGAGU